Molecule: non-coding RNA, 105 nt
Organism: Acanthosepion pharaonis
Lineage: Eukaryota; Metazoa; Mollusca; Cephalopoda; Sepiida; Sepiidae
Source: the annotation of a GenBank genome assembly
UACGGCUCUAUCACGUUGAAACACCAGUAUCCGUACGAUCACCAACGUUAAGCGACGUCGAGCCUGUUCAGAUGUGUGACCGCUUGGGAAUAGCAUGUGCUGUAA